RNAcentral lists this ribosomal RNA (497 nucleotides) under uncultured bacterium. RNAcentral describes it as "partial 16S ribosomal RNA". It matches the Rfam family "Bacterial small subunit ribosomal RNA", at positions 28 to 507 of the family's 1533-position model. The record is from RNAcentral.
GAUGAACGCUGGCGGCGUGCCUAAUACAUGCCAGUCGAGCGAACAGACGAGGAGCUUGCUCCUCUGACGUUAGCAGCGGACGGGUGAGUAACACGUGGAUAACCUACCUAUAAGACUGGGAUAACUUCGGGAAACCGGAGCUAAUACCGGAUAAUAUAUUGAACCGCAUGGUUCAAUAGUGAAAGACGGUUUUGCUGUCACUUAUAGAUGGAUCCGCGCCGCAUUAGCUAGUUGGUAAGGUAACGGCUUACCAAGGCAACGAUGCGUAGCCGACCUGAGAGGGUGAUCGGCCACACUGGAACUGAGACACGGUCCAGACUCCUACGGGAGGCAGCAGUAGGGAAUCUUCCGCAAUGGGCGAAAGCCUGACGGAGCAACGCCGCGUGAGUGAUGAAGGUCUUCGGAUCGUAAAACUCUGUUAUUAGGGAAGAACAAAUGUGUAAGUAACUAUGCACGUCUUGACGGUACCUAAUCAGAAAGCCACGGCUAACUACGUG